GACGAACGCUGGCGGCGUGCCUAAUACAUGCAAGUCGAACGAGAGCGACCGGUGCUUGCACUGGUCAAUCUAGUGGCGAACGGGUGAGUAACACGUGGGUAACCUGCCCAUCAGAGGGGGAUAACAUCCGGAAACGGAUGCUAAAACCGCAUAGGACAUCGAACCGCAUGGUUUGAUGAGGAAAAGAGGCGCAAGCUUCUGCUGUAGGAUGGACCCGCGGUGCAUUAGCUAGUUGGUGAGGUAACGGCUCACCAAGGCCGUGAUGCAUAGCCGACCUGAGAGGGUGAUCGGCCACAUUGGGACUGAGACACGGCCCAAACUCCUACGGGAGGCAGCAGUAGGGAAUCUUCCGCAAUGGACGCAAGUCUGACGGAGCAACGCCGCGUGAGUGAAGAAGGUUUUCGGAUCGUAAAACUCUGUUGUUAGAGAAGAACAAGUGCUAGAGUAACUGUUAGCGCCUUGACGGUAUCUAACCAGAAAGCCACGGCUAACUACGUG
RNAcentral lists this ribosomal RNA (498 nucleotides) under uncultured bacterium. Its description in RNAcentral is "partial 16S ribosomal RNA". It matches the Rfam family "Bacterial small subunit ribosomal RNA", at positions 28 to 507 of the family's 1533-position model. The record is from RNAcentral.